UCGAACGGAAAGGCCCUGCUUGCAGGGUACUCGAGUGGCGAACGGGUGAGUAACACGUGGGUGAUCUGCCCUGCACUUCGGGAUAAGCUUGGGAAACUGGGUCUAAUACCGGAUAGGACCGCACUUUAGUGUGUGUGGUGGAAAGUUUUUUCGGUGUAGGAUGAGCUCGCGGCCUAUCAGCUUGUUGGUGGGGUAAUGGCCUACCAAGGCGGCGACGGGUAGCCGGCCUGAGAGGGUGUACGGCCACAUUGGGACUGAGAUACGGCCCAGACUCCUACGGGAGGCAGCAGUGGGGAAUAUUGCACAAUGGGCGCAAGCCUGAUGCAGCGACGCCGCGUGGGGGAUGAAGGCCUUCGGGUUGUAAACUCCUUUCGCUAGGGACGAAGCUUUUUGUGACGGUACCUAGAUAAGAAGCACCGGCUAACUACGUGCCAGCAGCCGCGGUAAUACGUAGGGUGCGAGCGUUGUCCGGAAUUACUGGGCGUAAAGGGCUCGUAGGUGGUUUGUCGCGUCGUCUGUGAAAUUCUGGGGCUUAACUCCGGGCGUGCAGGCGAUACGGGCAUAACUUGAGUGCUGUAGGGGUAACUGGAAUUCCUGGUGUAGCGGCGAAAUGCGCAGAUAUCAGGAGGACACCGAUGGCGAAGGCAGGUUACUGGGCAGUUACUGACGCUGAGGAGCGAAAGCAUGGGUAGCGAACAGGAU
This 702-nucleotide ribosomal RNA is filed under the name uncultured Actinomycetales bacterium. RNAcentral describes it as "bacterial SSU rRNA". It matches the Rfam family "Bacterial small subunit ribosomal RNA", at positions 62 to 778 of the family's 1533-position model. The record is from RNAcentral. Lineage: Bacteria; Bacillati; Actinomycetota; Actinomycetes; Actinomycetales.